AAAACAUAAAAUAACUAACAAACGUGCCGAUGUGAGAAAAACUCAAAUAUGUAAGAAAUUGUUGUUGAUUUUGAAGAGAUAGAACAAGAAAGUGAUCAUUUCAAUAUCGAAACAAGAACAAAAUAUCUCAUUACGUGCCACGUAUUUCUUAACGAUCCCAACCGCCAAAAGAAGCAAAGGAAAGCCUUGUUUGUUGAUUUUGCCUCCCUUUCUCUGCUCUCUGUUCCGAAGUGUUUCCUUUGAGACCACACACGCACACAGGUGAAGAGAGUGUUGUUAGGAGUUCAAAACAAGAGCAAGUCAGCAAACCCAUCAAAGAUAACCAGAAAACAAUAUCUGGCUUUCAAGACUAACUGCUUUCUCCUUCCAGCCUUCCCAAAAAAAUCGUUGGCUUUGAGAAUUCCGAGUGGAUCAAGUAGAGAUGGAGAAGAGAGUGUAAUUAGGUGUUCAAAAGAAGAGCAAUCCCAUUAAGAAAAACAAGAAAUGGUUCCUCGAGAAAAUUGUGGACUGUAUGAAAUCUGAUUCUUACAUGUUUUCUCCUUUCAUCUCGACACCACAUAUUGCUUCAAAGACCAGCUCUUCUUCUACUACAGGACAGCUAGGUACGUUAAAAAAAAUUACUAUGGAAGUUCCAACCAGGAAAUUAACCACGAAGGAUAAUCAAUCAACUGUCGAGACAUCAAAUGUAACAGUAGAAGACCAAUUCUCUGAGCUUCCUGAGAAAUGCAUUUCUGGCCAGCAGACGUUCGUGCACAAGGAAACAGUGAAGCACAUGGUCUACCAAAGUUGCCGCUCUUCGCUGUCGGUUACUUUCUUAUGCCACGUGCAUUUUUCUUGUUAUUUAUCUGGGUUUCAGCCUCUGCUCCCUCUGAUUUAGAAAAAAUGAAGAUAAUUGGAUCUUAAAGAACUGGUUUUCAACACUAUCCAAUUAUAUAGGGCUCAUAUGCUGUUUCUUGUGUGAUUUUUUUAGAAUAACGUGGGCGGGACUGAAAUUCAAUUGUAAGAGGUUAUGCACAUGAAACUAUCUGGUGGGAUGCAAGCAUAUAUACAUUGUUUCUCAAAGUUAUUGGCAAAAGAAUACAGCACAUUUAACAUCAUAAUAUAUGGCCAAGGCUAGUCGACAUAUUGUUUCUUGCAUUUAA
Populus nigra (black poplar) is the source of this 1142-nucleotide long non-coding RNA. RefSeq lists it as uncharacterized. The record is from RefSeq and is a predicted model, not a curated record. NCBI's taxonomy places the organism in Eukaryota, Viridiplantae, Streptophyta, Magnoliopsida, Malpighiales, Salicaceae. The transcript is spliced from 3 exons.